RNAcentral lists this ribosomal RNA (524 nucleotides) under uncultured bacterium. Its description in RNAcentral is "partial 16S ribosomal RNA". It matches the Rfam family "Bacterial small subunit ribosomal RNA", at positions 28 to 523 of the family's 1533-position model. The record is from RNAcentral.
GACGAACGCUGGCGGCGUGCCUAAUACAUGCAAGUCGAACGCUUCUUUUUCCACCGGAGCUUGCUACACCGGAAAAAGAGGAGUGGCGAACGGGUGAGUAACACGUGGGUAACCUGCCCAUCAGAAGGGGAUAACACUUGGAAACAGGUGCUAAUACCGUAUAACAAUCAAAACCGCAUGGUUUUGAUUUGAAAGGCGCUUUCGGGUGUCGCUGAUGGAUGGACCCGCGGUGCAUUAGCUAGUUGGUGAGGUAACGGCUCACCGAGGCCACGAUGCAGAGCCGACCGGAGAGGGUGAUCGGCCACAUUGGGACUGAGACACGGCCCAAACUCCUACGGGAGGCAGCAGUAGGGAAUCUUCGGCAAUGGACGAAAGUCUGACCGAGCAACGCCGCGUGAGUGAAGAAGGUUUUCGGAUCGUAAAACUCUGUUGUUAGAGAAGAACAAGGAUGAGAGUAACUGUUCAUCCCUUGACGGUAUCUAACCAGAAAGCCACGGCUAACUACGUGCCAGCCGCCGCCGUAA